UUUCCGUAGGUGAACCCGCGGAAGGAUCAUACAUAAUAAAGUGUUUUAUGGCACUUUUUAAAAAUCCAUAUCCACCUUGUGUGCAAUGUUAGAUCUCGUCAAUCUUGGCGAGAUUUUUAUACAUCAACUCAUUCUUUAACUAAUUUGUCUGAAAAAUAUUAUGAAUACUUAAUUCAAAAUACAACUUUCAACAACGGAUCUCUUGGCUCUC
This 211-nucleotide unclassified non-coding RNA is filed under the name plant metagenome. Its description in RNAcentral is "partial contains small subunit ribosomal RNA, internal transcribed spacer 1, and 5.8S ribosomal RNA". The record is from RNAcentral.